ACUCCUACGGGAGGCAGCAGUGGGGAAUAUUGCACAAUGGGCGCAAGCCUGAUGCAGCCAUGCCGCGUGUGUGAAGAAGGCCUUCGGGUUGUAAAGCACUUUCAGUUGUGAGGAAGGUGGUGUCGUUAAUAGCGGCAUCAUUUGACGUUAGCAACAGAAGAAGCACCGGCUAACUCCGUGCCAGCAGCCGCGGUAAUACGGAGGGUGCGAGCGUUAAUCGGAAUUACUGGGCGUAAAGCGCAUGCAGGUGGUUUGUUAAGUCAGAUGUGAAAGCCCGGGGCUCAACCUCGGAACUGCAUUUGAAACUGGCAGACUAGAGUACUGUAGAGGGGGGUAGAAUUUCAGGUGUAGCGGUGAAAUGCGUAGAGAUCUGAAGGAAUACCGGUGGCGAAGGCGGCCCCCUGGACAGAUACUGACACUCAGAUGCGAAAGCGUGGGGAGCAAACAGGAUUAGAUAACCCUGGUAGCACAGAG
RNAcentral lists this ribosomal RNA (474 nucleotides) under uncultured bacterium. Its description in RNAcentral is "bacterial SSU rRNA". It matches the Rfam family "Bacterial small subunit ribosomal RNA", at positions 335 to 799 of the family's 1533-position model. The record is from RNAcentral.